GACGAACCGUGCGAACGUUGUUCGGAUUCACUGGGCUUAAAGGGCGCGUAGGCGGGUUUUCAAGUCUGGGGUGAAAUCCUCUCGCUUAACGAGAGAACUGCCCUGGAUACUGGGGACCUCGAGGGAGGUAGGGGCAUGUGGAACUUCCGGUGGAGCGGUGAAAUGCGCAGAUAUCAGGAGGAACACCAAUGGCGAAGGCAGCUCGCUGAGACGUGACUGACGCUGAGACGCGAAAGCGUGGGGAGCAAACAGG
This 253-nucleotide ribosomal RNA is filed under the name uncultured bacterium. RNAcentral describes it as "partial 16S ribosomal RNA". It matches the Rfam family "Bacterial small subunit ribosomal RNA", at positions 524 to 776 of the family's 1533-position model. The record is from RNAcentral.